CACACGACUCUCGGCAACGGAUAUCUCGGCUCUCGCAUCGAUGAAGAACGUAGCGAAAUGCGAUACYUGGUGUGAAUUGCAGAAUCCCGCGAACCAUCGAGUCUUUGAACGCAAGUUGCGCCCGAGGCCACCCGGCCGAGGGCACGCCUGCCUGGGCGUCACGC
RNAcentral lists this ribosomal RNA (164 nucleotides) under Diarrhena americana. RNAcentral describes it as "5.8S ribosomal RNA". It matches the Rfam family "5.8S ribosomal RNA". Rfam says of the family: 5.8S ribosomal RNA (5.8S rRNA) is a component of the large subunit of the eukaryotic ribosome. It is transcribed by RNA polymerase I as part of the 45S precursor that also contains 18S and 28S rRNA. Lineage: Eukaryota; Viridiplantae; Streptophyta; Magnoliopsida; Poales; Poaceae. The record is from RNAcentral.